This 429-nucleotide ribosomal RNA is filed under the name uncultured bacterium. RNAcentral describes it as "bacterial SSU rRNA". It matches the Rfam family "Bacterial small subunit ribosomal RNA", at positions 33 to 507 of the family's 1533-position model. The record is from RNAcentral.
ACGCUGGCGGCAUGCCUAACACAUGCAAGUCGAAACGAAGCCUUCGGGCUUAGUGGCGCACGGGGUGCGUAACACGUGGGAAUCUGCCCUUUGGUUCGGAAUAACAGUUAGAAAUGACUGCUAAUACCGGAUAAUGACGUAAGUCCAAAGAUUUAUCGCCGAAGGAUGAGCCCGCGUAGGAUUAGGUAGUUGGUGGGGUAAUGGCCCACCAAGCCGACGAUCCUUAGCUGGUCUGAGAGGAUGAUCAGCCACACUGGGACUGAGACACGGCCCAGACUCCUACGGGAGGCAGCAGUGGGAAUAUUGGACAAUGGGCGAAAGCCUGGUCCAGCAAUGCCGCGUGAGUGAUGAAGGCCUUAGGGUUGUAAAGCUCUUUUACCAGGGAUGAUAAUGACAGUACCUGGAGAAUAAGCUCCGGCUAACUCCGUG